This 528-nucleotide ribosomal RNA is filed under the name Bacillus sp. (in: firmicutes). RNAcentral's name for it is "bacterial SSU rRNA". It matches the Rfam family "Bacterial small subunit ribosomal RNA", at positions 828 to 1357 of the family's 1533-position model. The record is from RNAcentral. Lineage: Bacteria; Bacillati; Bacillota; Bacilli; Caryophanales; Bacillaceae.
GGUUUCCGCCCCUUAGUGCUGCAGCUAACGCAUUAAGCACUCCGCCUGGGGAGUACGGUCGCAAGACUGAAACUCAAAGGAAUUGACGGGGGCCCGCACAAGCGGUGGAGCAUGUGGUUUAAUUCGAAGCAACGCGAAGAACCUUACCAGGUCUUGACAUCCUCUGACAACCCUAGAGAUAGGGCUUUCCCUUCGGGGACAGAGUGACAGGUGGUGCAUGGUUGUCGUCAGCUCGUGUCGUGAGAUGUUGGGUUAAGUCCCGCAACGAGCGCAACCCUUGAUCUUAGUUGCCAGCAUUUAGUUGGGCACUCUAAGGUGACUGCCGGUGACAAACCGGAGGAAGGUGGGGAUGACGUCAAAUCAUCAUGCCCCUUAUGACCUGGGCUACACACGUGCUACAAUGGACAGAACAAAGGGCUGCGAGACCGCAAGGUUUAGCCAAUCCCAUAAAUCUGUUCUCAGUUCGGAUCGCAGUCUGCAACUCGACUGCGUGAAGCUGGAAUCGCUAGUAAUCGCGGAUCAGCAUGC